RNAcentral lists this ribosomal RNA (440 nucleotides) under uncultured bacterium. RNAcentral's name for it is "partial 16S ribosomal RNA". It matches the Rfam family "Bacterial small subunit ribosomal RNA", at positions 338 to 795 of the family's 1533-position model. The record is from RNAcentral.
CCUACGGGAGGCAGCAGUGGGGAAUAUUGCUCAAUGGGGGAAACCCUGAAGCAGCAACGCCGCGUGAAGGAUGAAUGCUUUAGGGGUGUAAACCUCUUUUGUUAGAGAAGAUUAUGACGGUAUCUGACUAAUAAUCACCGGCUAACUCCGUGCCAGCAGCCGCGGUAAUACGGAGGGUGCAAGCGUUAUCCGGAAUCACUGGGCGUAAAGUGUGCGUAGACGGGGUAAUAAGUCAGAUGUGAAAUCAUGCAGCUUAACCAUAGAACUGCAUUUGAAACUGUUAGUCUGGAGUGUAGGAGAGGUAGGUGGAAUUCUUGGUGUAGGGGUAAAAUGCGUAGAUAUCACGAGGAACACCCAUUGCGAAGGCGGCUUACUAGACUAUCACUGACGCUGAUGCUCGAAAGCGUGGGGAGCAAACAGGAUUAGAUACCCCAGUAGUC